This 492-nucleotide ribosomal RNA is filed under the name uncultured bacterium. Its description in RNAcentral is "partial 16S ribosomal RNA". It matches the Rfam family "Bacterial small subunit ribosomal RNA", at positions 30 to 507 of the family's 1533-position model. The record is from RNAcentral.
CGAACGCUGGCGGCGUGCUUAACACAUGCAAGUCGAACGGUGAAGCGCCUUCCUUUUUGGUGGGUGUGGAUGAGUGGCGACCGGGUGAGUAACACGUGAGUAACCUGCCCCCUUCUUCUGGAUAACCGCAUGAAAGUGUGGCUAAUACGGGAUAUUCUGGGUCUGUCGCAUGAUGGGUCUGGGAAAGAUAUUGUUUCGGUGGGGGAUGGGCUCGCGGCCUAUCAGCUUGUUGGUGGGGUGAUGGCCUACCAAGGCGGUGACGGGUAGCCGGCCUGAGAGGGUGGACGGUCACACUGGGACUGAGACACGGCCCAGACUCCUACGGGAGGCAGCAGUGGGGAAUAGUGCACAAUGGGCGCAAGCCUGAUGCAGCGACGCCGCGUGAGGGAUGGAGGCCUUCGGGUUGUGAACCUCUUUCGCCAGUGAAGCAGGCCUGCCUCGUUUGUGGGUGGGUUGACGGUAGCUGGAUAAGAAGCGCCGGCUAACUACGUG